AACGAACGCUGGCGGCAUGCCUAACACAUGCAAGUCGAACGCUACCUUCGGGUCCUUUUACCCACUGGUUCAUCAGCGGACGGAACCUUCCCUUAGGUUGAAAAUAACUUCCAGCAGGGGAUACUAUUUCGGAACAAAUGCUACUAACCAAUGAUUUAUCGCAACUCAAUGGGCGCGCGUUAGAUUAGCUAGUUCGUAAGGUAAAAGCCAACCAAGGCUACGUUCCAUAGCUGGUCUGAGAAAAUGUUCCGCCACCCUGGGACUGGGACACGGCCCGGACUCUUACGGGAGGCAGCAGUGGGGAAUAUUGGACGAUGGGCGAGAGCAUGAUCCAGCCGUGCCGCGUGAGUCAGGAAGGCCUUAGGGUUGUAAAGCUGUGUUACCCGGUCUGAUAAUGACAGUACCGAGAGAAUAAGCUCCGGCUAACUACGUG
This 433-nucleotide ribosomal RNA is filed under the name uncultured bacterium. RNAcentral describes it as "partial 16S ribosomal RNA". It matches the Rfam family "Bacterial small subunit ribosomal RNA", at positions 29 to 507 of the family's 1533-position model. The record is from RNAcentral.